AACGAACGCUGGCGGCAUGCCUAACACAUGCAAGUCGAACGAAGGCUUCGGCCUUAGUGGCGCACGGGUGCGUAACGCGUGGGAAUCUGCCCUUUGGUUCGGAAUAACAGCUGGAAACGGCUGCUAAUACCGGAUGAUGACGAAAGUCCAAAGAUUUAUCGCCCGAGGAUGAGCCCGCGUUGGAUUAGGUAGUUGGGAGGGUAAAGGCCUACCAAGCCGACGAUCCAUAGCUGGUCUGAGAGGAUGAUCAGCCACACUGGGACUGAGACACGGCCCAGACUCCUACGGGAGGCAGGAGUGGGGAAUAUUGGACAAUGGGCGCAAGCCUGAUCCAGCAAUGCCGCGUGAGUGAUGAAGGCCCUAGGGUUGUAAAGCUCUUUUACCUGGGAAGAUAAUGACUGUACCGGGAGAAUAAGCCCCGGCUAACUCCGUG
This 433-nucleotide ribosomal RNA is filed under the name uncultured bacterium. RNAcentral's name for it is "partial 16S ribosomal RNA". It matches the Rfam family "Bacterial small subunit ribosomal RNA", at positions 29 to 507 of the family's 1533-position model. The record is from RNAcentral.